RNAcentral lists this ribosomal RNA (205 nucleotides) under uncultured bacterium. RNAcentral's name for it is "partial 16S ribosomal RNA". It matches the Rfam family "Bacterial small subunit ribosomal RNA", at positions 1290 to 1500 of the family's 1533-position model. The record is from RNAcentral.
AGUUCGGAUUGGAGUCUGCAACCCGAACUCCAUGAAGCUGGAUUCGCUAGUAAUCGCGCAUCAGCCACGGCGCGGUGAAUACGUUCCCGGGCCUUGUACACACCGCCCGUCAAGCCAUGGAAGCCGGGGGGUGCCUGAAGUGCGCUGCCGCAAGGAGCGCCCUAGGGUAAAACCGGUGACUGGGGCUAAGUCGUAACAAGGUACC